RNAcentral lists this ribosomal RNA (763 nucleotides) under Micrococcus sp. A2b-19. Its description in RNAcentral is "bacterial SSU rRNA". It matches the Rfam family "Bacterial small subunit ribosomal RNA", at positions 97 to 873 of the family's 1533-position model. Lineage: Bacteria; Bacillati; Actinomycetota; Actinomycetes; Micrococcales; Micrococcaceae. The record is from RNAcentral.
GGCGAUCGGGUGAGUAACACGUGAGUAACCUGCCCUUGACUCUAGGAUAAGCCCGGGAAACUGGGUCUAAUACUGGAUAGGAACGUCUACCGCAUGGUGGAUGUUGGAAAGAAUUUCGGUCAUGGAUGGACUCGCGGCCUAUCAGCUUGUUGGUGAGGUAAUGGCUCACCAAGGCGACGACGGGUAGCCGGCCUGAGAGGGUGACCGGCCACACUGGGACUGAGACACGGCCCAGACUCCUACGGGAGGCAGCAGUGGGGAAUAUUGCACAAUGGGCGAAAGCCUGAUGCAGCGACGCCGCGUGAGGGAUGACGGCCUUCGGGUUGUAAACCUCUUUCAGUAGGGAAGAAGCGAAAGUGACGGUACCUGCAGAAGAAGCACCGGCUAACUACGUGCCAGCAGCCGCGGUAAUACGUAGGGUGCGAGCGUUAUCCGGAAUUAUUGGGCGUAAAGAGCUCGUAGGCGGUUUGUCGCGUCUGUCGUGAAAGUCCGGGGCUUAACCCCGGAUCUGCGGUGGGUACGGGCAGACUAGAGUGCAGUAGGGGAGACUGGAAUUCCUGGUGUAGCGGUGGAAUGCGCAGAUAUCAGGAGGAACACCGAUGGCGAAGGCAGGUCUCUGGGCUGUAACUGACGCUGAGGAGCGAAAGCAUGGGGAGCGAACAGGAUUAGAUACCCUGGUAGUCCAUGCCGUAAACGUUGGGCACUAGGUGUGGGGAACAUUCCACGUUUUCCGCGCCGCAGCUAACGCAUUAAGUGCCCCGCC